RNAcentral lists this ribosomal RNA (455 nucleotides) under uncultured marine bacterium. RNAcentral's name for it is "bacterial SSU rRNA". It matches the Rfam family "Bacterial small subunit ribosomal RNA", at positions 359 to 804 of the family's 1533-position model. The record is from RNAcentral.
AAUAUUGCGCCAAGGGGGGAAACCCUGACGCAGCAAACGCGGCUGAGAGGAGAAAGGCUUUAGGGUCGUAAAAUCCUGUCAGAAGAGAAGAAAAUGGUUUAGACAAUACCCUCCCUCUUUGACGGUACCUUCAAAGAAAGCACCGGCUAACUCCGUGCCAGCAGCCGCGGUAAUACGGAGGGUGCAAGCGUUGUUCGGAAUUACUGGGCGUAAAGGGCGUGUAGGCGGACCAAUUAGUCGGAUGUGAAAGCCCUGGGCUCAACCCCAGGAAGUGCGCCCGAAACCAUUGGUCUUGAGAUUUGGAGGGGAGCGGGGAAUUCCCAGUGUAGAGGUGAAAUUCGUAGAUAUUGGGAGGAAUACCGGUGCCGAAGGGGACGAUCUGGCCGAAUACUGACGCUGAGACGCGAAAGCGUGGGUAGCAAACAGGAUUAGAUACCCUGGUAGUCCACGCUGUA